GAGAAUGUGGUGGCAAGGGAGGCCAUUUUCCGAAUUUGGGGUGGUGGAAGUACUUUGGAGGAAUCUUGGGGUAAGGAGGAAGCUUAGGAAGAGGGCAUGGCUUCUUAUGAAAUGGAGGGAUCUUUGGGAUUGGAGGCAGUGGCUUAUAAAUUGGAACGGGAGGUGGUAAAGGCUUGUAGAUGGGAAUAGGAGGUGGUAGAGGCUUGAAGAUUGGUGGUUUUGGUUUUGGCUUGUAAAUUGGCACUGGAGGUGGCUUGAAGAUUGGUGGUUUUGGUUUUGGCUUGUAAAUUGGCACUGGAGGUGGCUUGAAGAUUGGUUCUUGUGGAUUGGAGGGAAGACCUUUGGUGGGAGAGGAGGGAAAAUCUUUUGAGGGAGUGGAGGAAAGACCUUAGGUGGGAAUAGGUAAGGAUGGUGAAAGUUUUUCGAUGGUGGAAGUUUCCAUGUAGGCAAUGG
RNAcentral lists this long non-coding RNA (453 nucleotides) under Populus trichocarpa (black cottonwood). Its description in RNAcentral is "long non-coding RNA (PTRI_LNC002365)". Lineage: Eukaryota; Viridiplantae; Streptophyta; Magnoliopsida; Malpighiales; Salicaceae. The record is from RNAcentral.